Molecule: ribosomal RNA, 406 nt
Filed under: uncultured bacterium
Lineage: Bacteria
Description: partial 16S ribosomal RNA
Rfam family: Bacterial small subunit ribosomal RNA
Source: RNAcentral
AUUGAACGCUGGCGGCAGGCCUAACACAUGCAAGUCGAACGAGUGGCGGACGGGUGAGUAAUGUCUGGGAAACUGCCUGAUGGAGGGGGAUAACUACUGGAAACGGUAGCUAAUACCGCAUACCAUCGGAUGUGCCCAGAUGGGAUUAGCUAGUAGGUGGGGUAAAGGCUCACCUAGGCGACGAUCCCUAGCUGGUCUGAGAGGAUAACCAGCCACACUGGAACUGAGACACGGUCCAGACUCCUACGGGAGGCAGCGGUGGGGAAUAUUGAACAAUGGGCGCAAGCCUGAUGCAGCCAUGCAGCGUGUAUGAAGAAGGCCUUCGGGUUGUAAAGUACUUUCAGCGAGGAGGCGUUACCCGCAGAAGAAGAACCGGCUAACUACGUGCCAGCAUCCGCGGUAUUAA